UUACUAAUAGAGUCCCUAUAUGAGGUAUCAAAGAAUGCUUAUAAAGUUUCACUCAUCAGAGAGUUCCUACGGCUGCAAAGUAAAAAGUAUGAAGGAGGAAGUAAAAAUUUCCUACAAAAAUUUGCUCCAAGAAUUUUGUCAAAAACAUUACAAAUCAUUACUGCAAUAUUCAACUUGUAAAAAAGGAUUACAUCAUUUGCCGGAAUUCUAUACUGCAAUUCAAGUAUGUAAAAAUUUUUACAUGAUAAACACA
RNAcentral lists this long non-coding RNA (253 nucleotides) under Elaeis guineensis (African oil palm). RNAcentral's name for it is "long non-coding RNA (EGUI_LNC043876)". The record is from RNAcentral. Lineage: Eukaryota; Viridiplantae; Streptophyta; Magnoliopsida; Arecales; Arecaceae.